Molecule: small nucleolar RNA, 97 nt
Filed under: Citrus sinensis (sweet orange)
Lineage: Eukaryota; Viridiplantae; Streptophyta; Magnoliopsida; Sapindales; Rutaceae
Also listed under: 1 other name
Description: Small nucleolar RNA snoR26
Rfam family: Small nucleolar RNA snoR26
Source: Rfam by way of RNAcentral
GGGGCAUCGGUGAUGAGGUGAUAAAAAUUGUUAUCCUUGCACUUUGAUUGCUACUGGCGGUGAAGAAAGUAAUGGGGAAUUUUUCUCUGAGGUGCUC